Humulus lupulus (European hop) is the source of this 1051-nucleotide long non-coding RNA. RefSeq lists it as uncharacterized. NCBI's taxonomy places the organism in Eukaryota, Viridiplantae, Streptophyta, Magnoliopsida, Rosales, Cannabaceae. The transcript has 2 exons. The record is from RefSeq and is a predicted model, not a curated record.
CUUUUUUGUGUUUUGUUCUUCAUCUUCUUUUUUUUUCUUUUCUGACCGAUUUCAGGGAGAGAAAAAAAGUGUUGACCUCCAUUAUCGGUUCCUCCUCUUCUCUUUUUUCGGUGUUUCCGAUUUCAAGGAGAAAAAAGGGUGCGUCCUCCAUUUGUCAGCUUCCUCCUCUAAUGCUAUUUUCAAUUUUGUGCGAUUUCAGGGAGAAUAAAAGGGUCUCAACCUCCAUUAUUGGCAACUUUGCUGAUUGUCCUUCUCAGGCGACGACAUUCUCAGGCGUCUCAGGGUGUUGACCUCGCUUCUGUCACAACUUCAUUUGUUUGAAAGUUCAGAAUCAAUUUUAACUAAAUAUAGAAUUUGAUAUUAUAUCUUUCAUAAUUCAGAUAACUUUUUGUUUAUAGAAAGUAAAAUUCUAAAUAAAAUCAUUUUGCUCUUGUUUUAUUACUCUGUAUACGUGGAUUUUUUUAAGAAUUUAGUUUGACAAUAUCAUGUAGAGGCUCUACAUGCAUAUUAUUAUUAUUAUCUUUGAGUUGUUCUUGUUGUGAUUACAGUGAUAUUUCUUUUAAGCUUUGGUGGGGUGGCGCUUAACCACAACAUAAGUCAUACGAAUGUGGCGUAUUUGUUGUUGCUUUUGCUAAUCACAUUAUUCAUGAGGGGAUUACCAAUAUAUCUACCCAACUUAACAUUGUCAUUUAUCAAAAGAACUUGUGGUAUGCAAUUUCAAGCAUGCUAUAUGAAGAAGCUAGAGGAGGGUUAUCAAACUGAUGAUGAGAAGCUUACAAGGUUGAAGAAGAAAAAGCAAAAAUGAAUAUGUAGUUUUUUGAUGAAUAGUUGGAUCUUCACAUGUUUUUUUUUUUUUUUUAGUUGGACAAUUCAACUUUUACAAUUUCUUUAUGUGUCAUGAUACUAGUAUGUUAACUUUGAACAAUUUCAAAGUCAUGUAUAUUAUGUAGUUUUUGUAUAAUUUUGAGAUUAUACGAAUAUUCACAGGUUCCAUGUUUUUUUAAAAGCAAAACAAUUGCAUAAAAUUAAUAAAUGAAUAUUUUAGGUUACA